AGAGUUUGAUCCUGGCUCAGAAUCAACGCUGGCGGCGUGCCUCAGACAUGCAAGUCGAACGAUUAAAGCUCUCUUCGGAGAGUGCAUAGAGUGGCGCACGGGUGAGUAACACGUAAGUAAUCUACCCUCGAGUGGGGAAUAACGUCCGGAAACGGGCGCUAAUACCGCAUAAUGCAGCGGCAUCAUAAGAUGACAGUUGUUAAAGAUCUAUCGCUUGAGGAGGAGCUUGCGGCAGAUUAGCUAGUUGGUAAGGUAACGGCUUACCAAGGCUACGAUCUGUAACCGGUCUUAGAGGACGGUCGGUCACACUGACACUGAAUAACGGGUCAGACUCCUACGGGAGGCAGCAGUCGGGAAUUUUGGGCAAUGGGCGAAAGCCUGACCCAGCAACGCCGCGUGAAGGAUGAAGUAUUUCGGUAUGUAAACUUCGAAAGAAUAGGAAGAAUUAAUGACGGUACUAUUUAUAAGGUCCGGCUAACUACGUGCCAGCAGCCGCGGUAAUACGUAGGGACCAAGCGUUGUUCGGAUUUACUGGGCGUAAAGGGCGCGUAGGCGGCAUGACAAGUCACUUGUGAAAUCUCCGGGCUUAACUCGGAACGGCCAAGUGAUACUGUCACGCUAGAGUAUUGGAGGGGCAAUCGGAAUUCUUGGUGUAGCGGUGAAAUGCGUAGAUAUCAAGAGGAACACCUGAGGUGAAGACGGGUUGCUGGCCAAAUACUGACGCUGAGGCGCGAAAGCCAGGGGAGCAAACGGGAUUAGAUACCCCGGUAGUCCUGGCCCUAAACGAUGAAUACUUGGUG
This 800-nucleotide ribosomal RNA is filed under the name uncultured bacterium. RNAcentral's name for it is "bacterial SSU rRNA". It matches the Rfam family "Bacterial small subunit ribosomal RNA", at positions 8 to 822 of the family's 1533-position model. The record is from RNAcentral.